RNAcentral lists this long non-coding RNA (371 nucleotides) under Canis lupus familiaris (dog). Its description in RNAcentral is "lncRNA (ENSCAFG00000055803.1)". Lineage: Eukaryota; Metazoa; Chordata; Mammalia; Carnivora; Canidae. The record is from RNAcentral.
UGAAGCUGAUGAACACAUAAGGAAAUGCAAGUCUUAAUGUGCAGCCUAGAAGAGGAGGGAGAGAUCCACUAAAACGUGAGUCUUGCUCAGAUACAGAUGCACCCUGCAUAAUGCUGUGUAUAAGAAUAAAGAGGACAACAUUAUAAAGAUGGACUGUUUGGGAAGGCCAGGCCAUCCUCUUCAGCCUCCAGGGAGAGAAGCUCUGAGAGGAGAGGAAGCUGAGAUGAGACAAGAUCACUCACUGUGAAGGUGGUAGGAGACAGAACCCAGGAAGUCUGCCCUGUAACAUCAGUUUGACAGUGGCUAAACCUGUAAGGGAUCCUCUGUGAUGUCAUGUUUCAGGCAGGAAAGAGCUUCUCAGACCCUCUUUA